RNAcentral lists this long non-coding RNA (1285 nucleotides) under Sander lucioperca (pikeperch). RNAcentral describes it as "lncRNA (ENSSLUG00000012754.1)". Lineage: Eukaryota; Metazoa; Chordata; Actinopteri; Perciformes; Percidae. The record is from RNAcentral.
AUUGUCAUGGUAAUUCAUAUUACAGAAAUUAAAUGAUCAAAAUUGUCAUGUUUACAUUUUUUCCCCGAAACUUUCCAGGUGUGGAAACCUACUGUGAUGGCCGACAGGAUGGAGCUCAGUGUUAUGGAGCUUUGGGAGGAACUGUGGUCCUCCAGCUGAUGGACAACACCUCAGGAAUAUCUAGAUACCAAUGGUCAAUCAAAACAACAACAACAACAACAACAAUAAUAAGGUGGACAAAUAAUAUGAUUGUGAUUAAUGCGAUAGCAAACAGAUCCUCCUUUACUCCCAGUGAUGGAACAUUUAGGAUCAACAACCUGAUCUGGACUGAUGGAGGUGAAUAUGAACUUGAAAUCUUUGAUUCAGAUGGAAAUAUAUCAGAGAAGCGGACUCUACAGUUGACCAUUCAAGCAGCAGGGUACUUGCCGAUAAUGGCUGGUGUACUGUCUGCGUUGGUAAUUCUGUUAGUGUUCGGGGUGGCUGUCGUCUGUGCUCAGAAGAAAAAGCAAAACAACAAACCUAAAGAAAAAGAAGACCAUGAACUAACCUAUGCUGAUGUCAGGACGGUGCAGCAGCCGGUGAGGCAGAUGCAGAAAAAGGCAGAGACGGAGGUGGAGGUGGAGUACGGCCAGGUCAAGUUUCCAGAGCGACCUCAGCAGACUGUUGAACCAGCAUGAGAUGAAUGUGUGUACGUCAAGGUCUGUAACGACAGAUCACUCCCUGCUCAUAUGUGGUGUGCAAGCAGCUGUGGUGGUUCUUGCAUUAAUUAGGAUCGCCGUCUAUUUUGCUCGGAAGGAAAGGAAAUACAAGAUGGUCUCUCGAAAGAGAACUCUGUUGUGAUGGUUGAAAGUAGAAGUUCUGCAUCUGAACUUUAACUUUGUGAAUCCAACACCUUAGUGUCGUCUGACUCUUCUCACUCCUCACUAGUUGUUGACUUGGUCAAAGUGGGAUCUUUUACAUAGAAUUAAUUUGAGUGGAAAUACCUUCUUGUUGUGAAAUGUUCAGUGUGUCACUGACUUUGGAGAGUGAUAAAGCUUCCAGAGGCCCACAGCUCCACAGCACAGUUUAUUCUAAAGCAACAUGUCAUAUUGUGGAUAAAGCAUAUUGUCUUAUUGCUACAGCUCUUACUGCUGUACUGCUCUUUUUAUUUUUACUUUUAUUGUAUUUAUUUAAUUUUUUUUAAUUUAAUACGUACUGUGUACAUUUACUUAUACUUAUACUUAUAUUGUUUAUAUUCUAUUUAGAGAAUGUGUAAGAUGCACCAACAACACCAAAACAAAUUCCU